AUUGAACGCUGGCGGCAUGCCUUACACAUGCAAGUCGAACGGCAGCGCGGGAGCAAUCCUGGCGGCGAGUGGCGAACGGGUGAGUAAUAUAUCGGAACGUGCCCAGUAGUGGGGGAUAGCCCGGCGAAAGCCGGAUUAAUACCGCAUACGACCUACGGGUGAAAGGGGGGGAUCGCAAGACCUCUCGCUAUUGGAGCGGCCGAUAUCAGAUUAGGUAGUUGGUGGGGUAAAAGCCUACCAAGCCUGCGAUCUGUAGUUGGUCUGAGAGGACGACCAGCCACACUGGGACUGAGACACGGCCCAGACUCCUACGGGAGGCAGCAGUGGGGAAUUUUGGACAAUGGGGGCAACCCUGAUCCAGCAAUGCCGCGUGCAGGAAGAAGGCCUUCGGGUUGUAAACUGCUUUUGUCAGGGAAGAAAUCCCUUGGGUUAAUACCUCGGGGGGAUGACGGUACCUGAAGGAUAAGCACCGGCUAACUACGUGCCAGCAGCCGCCGUAA
RNAcentral lists this ribosomal RNA (500 nucleotides) under uncultured bacterium. RNAcentral's name for it is "partial 16S ribosomal RNA". It matches the Rfam family "Bacterial small subunit ribosomal RNA", at positions 30 to 523 of the family's 1533-position model. The record is from RNAcentral.